GAUGAAGAACGUAGCGAAAUGCGAUAAGUAAUGUGAAUUGCAGAAUUCAGUGAAUCAUCGAAUCUUUGAACGCAUCUUGCGCUCCUUGGUAUUCUGAGGAGCAUGCCUGUUUGAGUGUCAUUAAAUUCUCAACUACACUGACUUUGAAUUGGUGUGGCUUGGAUUUGGGGGGAAAAUUGUUGUGGGCUUUUUGUAUAGUCUGCUCCCCUGAAAUUGAUUAGCGGUACCUUUGUGGAACUGUCUACAGGUGUGAUAAUUAUCUACAUCGUAGACAUCUGCUGGAAUGCUGCUUUCUAAACCUUACUUGUAUUGACAAUCUUGACCUCAAAUCAGGUAGGACUACCCGCUGAACUUAAGCAUAUCAAUAAGCGGAGGA
This 376-nucleotide unclassified non-coding RNA is filed under the name soil metagenome. RNAcentral's name for it is "partial contains 5.8S ribosomal RNA, internal transcribed spacer 2, and large subunit ribosomal RNA". The stretch from base 1 to 120 matches the Rfam family "5.8S ribosomal RNA", at positions 35 to 154 of the family's 154-position model. The record is from RNAcentral.